CCUACGGGAGGCAGCAGUGGGUGAUAUUGCACAAUGGGGGGAACCCUGAUGCAGCGACGCCGCGUGGGUGAAGAAGCGCCUCGGCGCGUAAAGCCCUGUCAGCAGGGAAGAAAAUGACGGUACCUGAAGAAGAAGCCCCGGCUAACUACGUGCCAGCAGCCGCGGUAAUCCGUAGGGGGCAAGCGUUAUCCGGAUUUACUGGGUGGAAAGGGGGCGCAGACGGCGAUGCAAGCCAGGAGUGAAAGCCCGGGGGCCAACCCCGGGACUGCUCUUGGAACUGCGUGGCUGGAGUGCAGGAGGGGCAGGCGGAAUGCGUGGUGUAGCGGUGAAAUGCGUAGAUAUCAGGAAGAACACCGGUGGCGAAGGCGGCCUGCUGGACUGCAACUGACGUUGAGGCCCGAAAGCGUGGGGAGCGAACAGGAUUAGAUACCCCAGUAGUC
RNAcentral lists this ribosomal RNA (440 nucleotides) under uncultured bacterium. Its description in RNAcentral is "partial 16S ribosomal RNA". It matches the Rfam family "Bacterial small subunit ribosomal RNA", at positions 338 to 795 of the family's 1533-position model. The record is from RNAcentral.